ACAGCCCACCUGCUCAAGGGCCCCAGACCCACCUUUGCCUUCAUCAUCCUGCACGGUGAAGCUGUCCUCAGACUGUGUGCAUUUCCUCUGUGUGAUCUAAUUGUCCAGGCUAUCCGAUUUCUGUCUUUAAAAAAAAAAAAUUAUUUGGGCCGUCCAGAGUCAGUAUGCCAAAGGAAUACAGCUAAAUGUGCUCCAUCCAUUCUUUCCCAGGUAAGAGUUGUAGUCUCUGUCUACCUUUUCUGUUGGAAUUAGCAUAACAAUCCACAGAGAUUUACUCACUGAAAGAAACACCCAGGGCUCUCUUUAAGCAGUGGUUAAUUACAUCCUGCUAUUUAUCCCAUUUAUCAGAGGUUAACUAAUUAGCACCAGCCAACUCCAUUUUUAAUCUAACGUGGUCCUCCUCCCCCUCCCCCCACAGACUCCCAGUUUCCUGAGUGGUCUGAGUCACAUAGUCCUGAACCAGGCUUCAGCCCCGGGCUCCCGUGUGCGUCUGUGUGCAUGUUUCUGCUGCGAGCUGCUGCCCAGAGGGGCCGGCGGGCCACGUCACAGCCUCUUGGGCUCAGUGCUGAAGGCCGAGCGCCUGACUCAUCCAGCCCUGAGCCUGCAGAGCAGCUGGCCCGCUGCCUGGGCCCGUCCCUGGGCCGCCUUUGAUGGCCUUUCCAGCCCCUCUUUACAGGCACCCCAGCCUCAGAGGGAGAGGAUCCCAAGCAAAGGAGGCAACACAGUGUUAUCCCUUGAAGCUAUAAGCACUUCUGUCUCCCAAACGGGCUGGGUGCUGCUCUAG
This 784-nucleotide long non-coding RNA is filed under the name Bos grunniens (domestic yak). RNAcentral's name for it is "lncRNA (ENSBGRG00000025597.1)". Lineage: Eukaryota; Metazoa; Chordata; Mammalia; Artiodactyla; Bovidae. The record is from RNAcentral.